RNAcentral lists this ribosomal RNA (628 nucleotides) under uncultured bacterium. RNAcentral's name for it is "bacterial SSU rRNA". It matches the Rfam family "Bacterial small subunit ribosomal RNA", at positions 32 to 655 of the family's 1533-position model. The record is from RNAcentral.
AACGCUGGCGGCAGGCCUAACACAUGCAAGUCGAGCGGUAGAGAGGAGCUUGCUCCUCUUGAGAGCGGCGGACGGGUGAGUAAUGCCUAGGAAUCUGCCUGGUAGUGGGGGAUAACGUUCGGAAACGGACGCUAAUACCGCAUACGUCCUACGGGAGAAAGCAGGGGACCUUCGGGCCUUGCGCUAUCAGAUGAGCCUAGGUCGGAUUAGCUAGUUGGUGAGGUAAUGGCUCACCAAGGCGACGAUCCGUAACUGGUCUGAGAGGAUGAUCAGUCACACUGGAACUGAGACACGGUCCAGACUCCUACGGGAGGCAGCAGUGGGGAAUAUUGGACAAUGGGCGAAAGCCUGAUCCAGCCAUGCCGCGUGUGUGAAGAAGGUCUUCGGAUUGUAAAGCACUUUAAGUUGGGAGGAAGGGCAGUAAAUUAAUACUUUGCUGUUUUGACGUUACCGACAGAAUAAGCACCGGCUAACUCUGUGCCAGCAGCCGCGGUAAUACAGAGGGUGCAAGCGUUAAUCGGAAUUACUGGGCGUAAAGCGCGCGUAGGUGGUUUGUUAAGUUGGAUGUGAAAUCCCCGGGCUCAACCUGGGAACUGCAUUCAAAACUGACUGACUAGAGUAUGGUAGA